RNAcentral lists this ribosomal RNA (705 nucleotides) under uncultured bacterium. Its description in RNAcentral is "bacterial SSU rRNA". It matches the Rfam family "Bacterial small subunit ribosomal RNA", at positions 56 to 770 of the family's 1533-position model. The record is from RNAcentral.
UGCAAGUCGAACGGACUUAACCAUUAGUUUACUAUUGGAGCGGUUAGUGGCGGACUGGUGAGUAACACGUAAGCAACCUGCCUAUCAGAGGGGAACAACAGUUAGAAAUGACUGCUAAUACCGCAUAUGCCUAAGUACUACAUGGUACAAUAGGGAAAGGAGCAAUCCGCUGAUAGAUGGGCUUGCGUCUGAUUAGAUAGUUGGUGGGGUAAAGGCCUACCAAGUCGACGAUCAGUAGCCGGACUGAGAGGUUGAACGGCCACAUUGGGACUGAGAUACGGCCCAGACUCCUACGGGAGGCAGCAGUCGGGAAUAUUGCGCAAUGGAGGAAACUCUGACGCAGUGACGCCGCGUGCAGGAAGAAGGUUUUCGGAUUGUAAACUGCUUUAGACAGGGAAGAGACAAGACAGUACCUGUAGAAUAAGCUCCGGCUAACUACGUGCCAGCAGCCGCGGUAAUACGUAGGGAGCGAGCGUUAUCCGGAUUUAUUGGGUGUAAAGGGUGCGUAGACGGGAAAAUAAGUUAGUUGUGAAAUCCCUCGGCUUAACUGAGGAACUGCAACUAAAACUGUUUUUCUUGAGUACUGGAGAGGAAAGUGGAAUUCCUAGUGUAGCGGUGAAAUGCGUAGAUAUUAGGAGGAACACCAGUGGCGAAGGCGACUUUCUGGACAGAAACUGACGUUGAGGCACGAAAGUGUGGGGAGCA